AGACACCCUUCUGGGGCAGGACUUGCUUCAGUGGGGCUUUGGUGCUCACUGAGUCUGCCCCCUGAGUGUGUCCCU
RNAcentral lists this microRNA precursor (75 nucleotides) under Myotis myotis. RNAcentral describes it as "mir-9229 microRNA precursor family". It matches the Rfam family "mir-9229 microRNA precursor family". The record is from Rfam by way of RNAcentral. Lineage: Eukaryota; Metazoa; Chordata; Mammalia; Chiroptera; Vespertilionidae. RNAcentral also lists the same sequence under 1 other name.